ACAUGGCCUAGUAGCUAAGACGCCAGGCUAAUAAUCUGAUGGAUGCAGGUUCGAGCCCGG
Molecule: transfer RNA, 60 nt
Filed under: Oxyrrhis marina
Lineage: Eukaryota; Dinophyceae; Oxyrrhinales; Oxyrrhinaceae
Source: RNAcentral